UCGGGCGGGAGACCUGGAAUCCAGUGCGGUUCUGUGGAAAGAUCCAGGCGCCGGCCUGCCCUCUAUGCACGGGCCAUCUGCAGCCUCCGAUGGAGACCCCACGCCGGCGCAGACCAACCAGCAGAAGGGGAAUCCUGUCUACAAGCUUUUUACAGAUGAAAAAUAAAACUGAGCGUCCAAGAGGU
Molecule: long non-coding RNA, 185 nt
Organism: Echinops telfairi (small Madagascar hedgehog)
Lineage: Eukaryota; Metazoa; Chordata; Mammalia; Afrosoricida; Tenrecidae
Exons: 2
Source: RefSeq, a predicted model, not a curated record